GGAGAGAUGACCGAGUGGUUGAAGGUGCCGAUCUGGAACGUCGGUUUCGUGCAAGCGGACGAGGGUUCGAAUCCCUCUCUCUCCG
Molecule: transfer RNA, 85 nt
Filed under: Nephroselmis pyriformis
Lineage: Eukaryota; Viridiplantae; Chlorophyta; Nephroselmidophyceae; Nephroselmidales; Nephroselmidaceae
Description: tRNA-Ser
Rfam family: tRNA
About the family: Transfer RNA (tRNA) molecules are approximately 80 nucleotides in length.
Source: RNAcentral